UACGGAGGGGGCUAGCGUUGUUCGGAAUUACUGGGCGUAAAGCGCACGUAGGCGGCUUUGUAAGUUAGAGGUGAAAGCCCGGGGCUCAACUCCGGAAUUGCCUUUAAGACUGCAUCGCUCGAAUUGUGGAGAGGUAAGUGGAAUUCCGAGUGUAGAGGUGAAAUUCGUAGAUAUUCGGAAGAACACCAGUGGCGAAGGCGACUUACUGGACACAUAUUGACGCUGAGGUGCGAAGGCGUGGGGAGCAAACAGG
RNAcentral lists this ribosomal RNA (253 nucleotides) under uncultured bacterium. RNAcentral describes it as "partial 16S ribosomal RNA". It matches the Rfam family "Bacterial small subunit ribosomal RNA", at positions 524 to 776 of the family's 1533-position model. The record is from RNAcentral.